UCAAGUAUUAGUAACAAUAAUAGCUGUUAUAUUUAGGCUAUGCCUAUAUCUAGACUAAACUGAUCUUGUUUAUGCUAAAUUCUAUACAUAAGAUUAGCUAGCAAUUACCUUAAAUUGAAGCAUCAAUUUGUUUCUCAAAAUUUAAAUACUAGAAUCAUGGGACUAAGGUAUGUAAUUCUGCAAUAAUUUGAAUUAUAAUUUCAAAUCCUCCAUUUUGAUAAAAGCUCUUAAACCAGUCUCAGAAAGAUUAAAAAUUUUGCUUACGCUGUAGCAAUUCUCAAUGGAAAUUAAAUUUUUCCGAGUAAAAUGAUCGGAAUUUGCACUACUGCCCCAAAUCCUAUUCUACCGGUGUUAGCUUGGCCUGAGCUGGUGAGGAUCGUGGCCGAUGAGGUCGCUAGAGGCGUUAGAAGUUGUAAUCCGGAAGCCCUUGACUGGUUUCGCCGGAAAGCUGUAGAGAAGCAACGAGUUGACUGUCCCAACGCAACAGAUUGCGAAAGCAGCUCCUCGUGUUGCUGCUCCAGUCGAAACAGAAGAGAGAGAGCGAGAAAGGGAGGGAUCGUAGCUUUGUCGCCAACAGCUGGAACUGGAGUCGCCGGAAAGUCGUAGAGGAGGCGCGAUUUUCCGAUCACGAACUUGCAGGUUCCUGCGAAAACUGCGCUAGUCGCGCUAGCCCGAGACAACAAAGAAGAGAGAGAGAGAGAGAGAGAGAGAGAGAGAGAGAGAGAGAGCGGCAAGGGGAUUGUGGCGGCUGAAGGAGGUGGUGCUAGUCUCAGGCGAUCGGGAAAACGAAAAUAAACGUUAGGGGAAGGUCUGAAGUCGGUGCUAAAGGGGAAAGAUGGGUUUCUAG
RNAcentral lists this long non-coding RNA (847 nucleotides) under Jatropha curcas. RNAcentral's name for it is "long non-coding RNA (JCUR_LNC002224)". The record is from RNAcentral. Lineage: Eukaryota; Viridiplantae; Streptophyta; Magnoliopsida; Malpighiales; Euphorbiaceae.